RNAcentral lists this ribosomal RNA (1070 nucleotides) under uncultured Pseudomonadota bacterium. RNAcentral describes it as "bacterial SSU rRNA". It matches the Rfam family "Bacterial small subunit ribosomal RNA", at positions 464 to 1533 of the family's 1533-position model. The record is from RNAcentral. Lineage: Bacteria; Pseudomonadati; Pseudomonadota.
AGCAAUUGACAUUAGCGACAGAAGAAGCACCGGCUAACUCCGUGCCAGCAGCCGCGGUAAUACGGAGGGUGCGAGCGUUAAUCGGAAUUACUGGGCGUAAAGGGCACGCAGGCGGUUAAUUAAGUUGGAUGUGAAAUCCCCGGGCUUAACCUGGGAAUGGCAUUCAAGACUGGUUAGCUAGAGUCUUGUAGAGGGGGGCAGAAUUCCAUGUGUAGCGGUGAAAUGCGUAGAGAUGUGGAGGAAUACCGGUGGCGAAGGCGGCCCCCUGGACAAAGACUGACGCUCAUGUGCGAAAGCGUGGCGAGCAAACAGGAUUAGAUACCCUGGUAGUCCACGCUGUAAACGAUGUCGAUUUGGAGGGCGAGCAAACAGGAUUAGAUACCCUGGUAGUCCACGCUGUAAACGAUGUCGAUUUGGAGGGGCCGCAAGGUUAAAACUCAAAUGAAUUGACGGGGGCCCGCACAAGCGGUGGAGCAUGUGGUUUAAUUCGAUGCAACGCGAAGAACCUUACCUACUCUUGACAUCCAGCGAAUCCUUUAGAGAUAGAGGAGUGCCUUCGGGAGCGCUGAGACAGGUGCUGCAUGGCUGUCGUCAGCUCGUGUUGUGAAAUGUUGGGUUAAGUCCCGCAACGAGCGCAACCCUUAUCCUUUGUUGCCAGCGAGUAGAGUCGGGAACUCAAAGGAGACUGCCGGUGAUAAACCGGAGGAAGGUGGGGAUGACGUCAAGUCAUCAUGGCCCUUACGAGUAGGGCUACACACGUGCUACAAUGGCGUAUACAGAGAGAGGCGAGCCAGCGAUGGGGAGCGGAACUCAGAAAGUACGUCGAAGUCCGGAUUGGAGUCUGCAACUCGACUCCAUGAAGUCGGAAUCGCUAGUAAUCGCGGAUCAGCAUGUCGCGGUGAAUACGUUCCCGGGCCUUGUACACACCGCCCGUCACACCAUGGGAGUGGGUUGCAAAAGAAGUAGGUAGCUUAACCUUUUGGAUGGCGCUUACCACUUUGUGAUUCAUGACUGGGGUGAAGUCGUAACAAGGUAACCGUAGGGGAACCUGCGGUUGGAUCACCUCCUUA